RNAcentral lists this ribosomal RNA (253 nucleotides) under uncultured bacterium. RNAcentral describes it as "partial 16S ribosomal RNA". It matches the Rfam family "Bacterial small subunit ribosomal RNA", at positions 524 to 776 of the family's 1533-position model. The record is from RNAcentral.
UACGUAGGGUGCAAGCGUUAAUCGGAAUUACUGGGCGUAAAGCGUGCGCAGGCGGUUUUGUAAGUCUGACGUGAAAUCCCCGGGCUCAACCUGGGAAUUGCGUUGGAGACUGCAAGGCUAGAAUCUGGCAGAGGGGGGUAGAAUUCCACGUGUAGCAGUGAAAUGCGUAGAGAUGUGGAGGAACGCCGAUGGCGAAGGCAGCCCCCUGGGUCAAGAUUGACGCUCAUGCACGAAAGCGUGGGGAGCAAACAGG